RNAcentral lists this ribosomal RNA (230 nucleotides) under uncultured bacterium. Its description in RNAcentral is "partial 16S ribosomal RNA". It matches the Rfam family "Bacterial small subunit ribosomal RNA", at positions 563 to 791 of the family's 1533-position model. The record is from RNAcentral.
AGGGGUCCGGUAGGCGGAUCUGUAAGUCAGUGGUGAAAUCUCACAGCUUAACUGUGAAACUGCCAUUGAUACUGCAGGUCUUGAGUGUUGUUGAAGUAGCUGGAAUAAGUAGUGUAGCGGUGAAAUGCAUAGAUAUUACUUAGAACACCAAUUGCGAAGGCAGGUUACUAAGCAACAACUGACGCUGAUGGACGAAAGCGUGGGGAGCGAACAGGAUUAGAUACCCUAGU